GAAAGGCAGCUUCCGUCCGCCUGCUCGCCGCGCGCGAAGCGCGUGGGCGGGCGGGCGUCAGGCCCGUGCGGGCGCGGCUCCGCCGAAGCGCACCCGUCUCGGCGCUGCGCCCUGGCCGUUUCUCCCGGGAGAUCCUGCGCGCGCCCCUUUGCCUUACGUUGACCCGGUGACCUGGAGGCAAACACCAGCAGAAGUCGCUGGGGAAUCCUAGUAUCGAAGGAGCCCUGCUUUCAGAGGCGUGUGUGACCCUGGACGGCGACCGUCUUAAAGGUGAUGGCACUGAGGCUCAAGGAAUAAAAUUCCUUCAAGGCACAGCUGGAAAGAAGAGAGGGAACAAGCGAUGUGAUCAGUUAUGCUGUAGGGGGGAAGGCGAAAGAGAGGAAGCCGUUUCCUCGCCUUUGCCGGCAAGGUCUGGCUGAUCCCUGGAGGCGCCUCAGAACCCGUCAGUUUGAAUCUCUUCCUUUCCAAGUGUCUGGCUGUGAAGAUAGCGGAGACUAUGGUCAGCCUGAUGCUGAAGCCUCUAGGAUGUCUUUUUUUCUCCUUCUCAAAAGAAAGGACUUUUUAGAUGCUGAGCUGCCUGGAAAAAGGCCCAUAUUUUAUUCAUUGCUGUAACCCCAAAGCACUCGGCGCAGUGUGCAAAGCAGUCUAACGCUGGAAUACUAUGCAGCUGUAAAAAGGAGGAGGAUGCUCUUUCUGUCCUGCUGUGGAAUGAACCCCAACAUAGCGAGAAAAAGCCACACUGAGCACAGGAUGCCGCCAUUUGGGUAAAGGAGGAGAAGUAAGUCUUAAUCUCUGGAGGGAUGUGUGAGAAACUGGAUGCCUCUGGAAAGGGAACCGUGUGUUGGGGGAAGAGGUAGGAGGGAAACUUUGCCACAGACCCUUUGGAAUUUCAAACCCUGUUGAAUGUUUUAGUGGUAAAUAAAUAAAACUUUAAUUUUAAAGAAUAUAUGUUGAAUUUAUCCAGAAUAUCCAGAAUUAGGUAAAUCUGAAGAGAUAGAAAGUAGUUCAGGGUAGCCAGGCACCAUGAGGAAGAUGGAAUGGGGAGUGACUGCUUGUUCAGGGUGAUAAAAAUAUUCUGAAACUGGUUGCUGGUGAUGAUGGAACAACAUUGUGAAUGUACAAAUGCCACUGGGUUGUACACUUCACUUUUUUAUUAAGGUAUAAUUGACAUGUAAUGUACUUCAAGUGGCUAGAAUGUUGAAUUUUAUGAUGUAUAUUUGAACAAGCAAAUGAAAGAAUAAAAUGCCUACAUUUACAGAUUUGCAUUAGGUGGCCUCCACAUGCAGUGAGAUGCCUCGGCUUCAUGGAGUUUUCGAUGGAAAAUUCCCAAAAUGUACAAAAGGAGAGCAUCAUGCACCCCACUUACCUACCACCCAGAUUCAGCAAUUAGCAACUCAAGGCCAACUCAUUUAUACCCUGGCCCACUGUUUGCCUACACCUACUGGAGUAUUUUGAAACAAACUAUAAAUAUUUCAGGACACAUCUCUAACAGCUAAGACCUCUUUUUCAAAAGCUUAUUUAUAAUAUGCUAUUGUACCUACAAGGCUAAGUUAUUCCUUAAUAUCAUCAAAAAACAGUUCAGAAUCCCAGAUUGCCUCUCAAAUGGCAUUUUUAGAGUUGACUUUAGGGUUGAAGAGACAGACUGCUUUUCCUGGCCAUAAUGAGACCUUGAGGAAGUUACAACUUCUUAUCUGAAGAUGACUGAAGCUGGAUGAGAUGUUAGUAAGGCUCCACUCCCACCAAGUGGUUUCUAAAGGGUUUCUGAUGGGCUCCUUGCCUCGGGCAGCCUGCAGUGCUGUGUGGCAUGUGGCAGUAGAUGUCAGUCAUGAAAUGCCAGCGAGACGAUUGAAAUCCUACUCUGAGAGGCCCCAGUUUAGCACUGGAACUCACCAGCAAGAAUCUCUAUUCUCCCUCUUGGUUACCAGUACAGCAGUGCCCCCUCAUCCAAGACCCCCCAGUCCCUGCGUGAAACCAUGGAUGGUACCAAAUCCUGCAUAUACUAAUUUUCCCUAUACAGACAUACCUAUAAUACAAUUUAGUUUAUAAAUUAGGCCCAGUAAGAGAUUAACAACAGUAACUAAUAAUUAAAUAGAACAAUUACAACAAUACAGUGUAACGAAAGUUAUGUGCAUGUGGUCUCUCUGUGUCUCUAAAUACCUUAUUGUACUGCCUGGGCCCUUCCUGUGAUGAUGUGAGAUGACAAAAUGCCCACACGGUGAGAUGGGGAGGGAGGAAUACAUGGGCACUGUGACCCAGCGUGAGGCUACCACUGACCUUCCGAGGACGCAGGAGGAAGGUCGUCUGCUCCCAGACCACGGCCAACCCUGGGAACUGACCGUGGAGCGUGGAGCCGUGCAGAGGGGUCCUCCUGCAUGCAUCUCAGCUUGUCCCCGACAUCGUUUAAUGUGAGCCUGGAUGACGCCCGUCUCCCUCCGGAGACUCCUGGGCUAAAUCCACCUCCCCGCAUUGCCUGGACCAGAGUCGCCAGCUGUCGGCCUCCUACUUGGGGAGCAGUGGGUCCGCAGGGGACUCGCAGGCUGCA
Molecule: long non-coding RNA, 2542 nt
Organism: Manis pentadactyla (Chinese pangolin)
Lineage: Eukaryota; Metazoa; Chordata; Mammalia; Pholidota; Manidae
Exons: 3
Source: RefSeq, a predicted model, not a curated record